RNAcentral lists this ribosomal RNA (468 nucleotides) under uncultured bacterium. RNAcentral describes it as "partial 16S ribosomal RNA". It matches the Rfam family "Bacterial small subunit ribosomal RNA", at positions 28 to 507 of the family's 1533-position model. The record is from RNAcentral.
GACGAACGCUGGCGGCGUGCUUAACACAUGCAAGUCGAACGGAAAGGCCCUGCUUUUGUGGGGUGCUCGAGUGGCGAACGGGUGAGUAACACGUGAGUAACCUGCCCUUGACUUUGGGAUAACUUCAGGAAACUGGGGCUAAUACCGGAUAGGAGCUCCUGCUGCAUGGUGGGGGUUGGAAAGUUUCGGCGGUUGGGGAUGGACUCGCGGCUUAUCAGCUUGUUGGUGGGGUAGUGGCUUACCAAGGCUUUGACGGGUAGCCGGCCUGAGAGGGUGACCGGCCACAAUGGGACUGAGAUACGGCCCAGACUCCUACGGGAGGCAGCAGUGGGGAAUAUUGCACAAUGGGCGAAAGCCUGAUGCAGCAACGCCGCGUGCGGGAUGACGGCCUUCGGGUUGUAAACCGCUUUCGCCUGUGACGAAGCGUGAGUGACGGUAAUGGGUAAAGAAGCACCGGCUAACUACGUG